Molecule: ribosomal RNA, 430 nt
Filed under: uncultured Campylobacterota bacterium
Lineage: Bacteria; Pseudomonadati; Campylobacterota
Description: SSU rRNA
Rfam family: Bacterial small subunit ribosomal RNA
Source: RNAcentral
UACGGGAGGCAGCAGUAGGGAAUAUUGCACAAUGGAGGAAACUCUGAUGCAGCAACGCCGCGUGGAGGAUGACACUUUUCGGAGCGUAAACUCCUUUUAUACAAGAAGAUAAUGAUCCGGUAUUGUAUGAAUAAGCGCCGGCUAACUCCGUGCCAGCAGCCGCGGUAAUACGGGGGGCGCAAGCGUUAUUCGGAAUCACUGGGCGUAAAGGGUGCGUAGGCGUCUUGAUAAGUAUCCCGUGAAAUCCUAUGGCUUAACCAUAGAACUGCGGGAUAAACUGCCAAGAUAGAGUCCGGAAGAGGUCAGUGGAAUUUCUAGUGUAGGGGUAAAAUCCGUGUAGAUAUUAGAAGGAAUACCAAUGGCGAAGGCAACUUACUGGAACGGUACUGACGCUGAGGCACGAAAGCGUGGGGAGCAAACAGGAUUAGAU